GGGGUUGUAGCUCAGAGGUAGAGCACUUGCCUAGCAUGUGUGAGGCACUGGGUUCGAUCCUCAGCACCA
Molecule: transfer RNA, 69 nt
Filed under: Ictidomys tridecemlineatus (thirteen-lined ground squirrel)
Lineage: Eukaryota; Metazoa; Chordata; Mammalia; Rodentia; Sciuridae
Also listed under: 1 other name
Description: Spermophilus tridecemlineatus (thirteen-lined ground squirrel) tRNA
Rfam family: tRNA
About the family: Transfer RNA (tRNA) molecules are approximately 80 nucleotides in length. Their secondary structure includes four short double-helical elements and three loops (D, anti-codon, and T loops).
Source: Rfam by way of RNAcentral